AUUGAACGCUGGCGGCAGGCCUAACACAUGCAAGUCGAGCGGAUGAAGGGAGCUUGCUCCUGGAUUCAGCGGCGGACGGGUGAGUAAUGCCUAUGAAUCUGCCUGGUAGUGGGGGAUAACGUCCGGAAACGGGCGCUAAUACCGCAUACGUCCUGAGGGAGCAAGUGGGGGAUCUUCGGACCUCACGCUAUCAGAUGAGCCUAGGUCGGAUUAGCUAGUUGGUGGGGUAAAGGCCUACCAAGGCGACGAUCCGUAACUGGUCUGAGAGGAUGAUCAGACAAACUGGAGCGGAGGAACGGUCCAGACUCCUACGGGAGGCAGCAGUGGGGAAUAUUGGACAAUGGGCGAGAGCCGGAUACAGCCAUGCCGCGUGUGUGAAGAAGGUCUUCGGAUUGUAAAGCACUUUAAGUUGGGAGGAAGGGCAGUAAGUUAAUACCUGGCUGUUUUGACGUUACCAACAGAAUAAGCACCGGCUAACUUCGUG
This 484-nucleotide ribosomal RNA is filed under the name uncultured bacterium. RNAcentral describes it as "partial 16S ribosomal RNA". It matches the Rfam family "Bacterial small subunit ribosomal RNA", at positions 30 to 507 of the family's 1533-position model. The record is from RNAcentral.